UCGAGAAUUUUUCACAAUGGGCGAAAGCCUGAUGGAGCGACGCCGCGUGGGGGAUGAAUGGCUUCGGCCCGUAAACCCCUGUCAUUUGCGAACAAACCUUGCUAUUUAAAAGAUGGCGAGCUGAUGGUAGCGAAAGAGGAAGGGACGGCUAACUCUGUGCCAGCAGCCGCGGUAAUACAGAGGUCCCAAGCGUUGUUCGGAUUCACUGGGCGUAAAGGGUGCGUAGGUGGCGGGGUAAGUCUGAUGUGAAAUCUCCGAGCUUAACUCGGAAAUGGCAUUGGAAACUAUCCUGCUCGAGGGUUGGAGGGGGGACUGGAAUACUUGGUGUAGCAGUGAAAUGCGUAGAUAUCAAGUGGAACACCAGUGGCGAAGGCGAGUCCCUGGACAACUCCUGACACUGAGGCACGAAAGCUAGGGGAGCAAACAGGAUUAGAUACCCCCGUAGUCC
Molecule: ribosomal RNA, 448 nt
Filed under: uncultured bacterium
Lineage: Bacteria
Description: bacterial SSU rRNA
Rfam family: Bacterial small subunit ribosomal RNA
Source: RNAcentral